AAUGAACGCUGGCGGCGUGCUUAACACAUGCAAGUCGUACGAGAAAUCCGCUUUCGGGUGGAGAGUAAAGUGGCAGACGGGUGAGUAACGCGUGGGCGACCUACCUUCGAGUGGGGGAUAACACCGCGAAAGCGGUGCUAAUACCGCAUGACAUUCCCAUGAAUAAAGAUUGGGAAUCAAAGCCGGGGAUCUUCGGACCUGGUGCUUGAAGAGGGGCUUGCGUCUGAUUAGCUAGUUGGUGGGGUAAUGGCCUAUCAAGGCGACGAUCAGUAGCCGACCUGAGAGGGUGAUCGGCCACACUGGAACUGAGACACGGUCCAGACUCCUACGGGAGGCAGCAGUGGGGAAUUUUGCGCAAUGGGGGAAACCCUGACGCAGCAACGCCGCGUGGGUGAUGAAGCACUUUUGUGUGUAAAGCCCUGUCAACAGGGAAUAAGGUUCGUCGUUUAAGAGAUGAUGGAUUUGAAUGUACCUGUGGAGGAAGUCCCGGCUAACUCCGUGCCAGCAGCCGCGGUAAUACGGAGGGGACAAGCGUUAUUCGGAAUUAUUGGGCGUAAAGGGCGCGUAGGCGGCGUGUUAAGUGAGAAGUGAAAGCCCACGGCUUAACCGUGGAACGGCUUCUCAUACUG
This 629-nucleotide ribosomal RNA is filed under the name uncultured bacterium. Its description in RNAcentral is "partial 16S ribosomal RNA". It matches the Rfam family "Bacterial small subunit ribosomal RNA", at positions 28 to 635 of the family's 1533-position model. The record is from RNAcentral.